AGAUAUGAUCCAGAGUACCACGGGACACGUGAAACCCUGUGGGAAGCAGGAGGGACCACCCUCCAAGGCUAAAUACUACCUAGUGACCGAUAGCGUAUAGUACCGGGAGGGAAAGGUGAAAAGAACCCCGGGAGGGGAGUGAAAUAGAACCUGAAACCCUGCACUUACAAGCUGUGGAAGCACAUUUCUUGUGUGACCGCGUACUUUUUGUAGAACGGGCCAACGAGUUACGU
Molecule: ribosomal RNA, 233 nt
Filed under: Clostridioides difficile
Lineage: Bacteria; Bacillati; Bacillota; Clostridia; Peptostreptococcales; Peptostreptococcaceae
Description: partial 23S ribosomal RNA
Rfam family: Bacterial large subunit ribosomal RNA
Source: RNAcentral